Paramuricea clavata is the source of this 560-nucleotide non-coding RNA. The record is from the annotation of a GenBank genome assembly. Lineage: Eukaryota; Metazoa; Cnidaria; Anthozoa; Malacalcyonacea; Plexauridae.
UACCCUCAGAUUAUACUUCAUUCCAUAUAUUAAGGGGAAAAUCGUCUUGUUAUAUUGGUAAACCUAACAGAACAAGAUUAAAAAAUAACAGAACAAGAUUAAAAAAUAACAAAACAAAGAAAAGUGUGAUUGAUAUAUGUCUUCGUAAAAGAAACAUUUUCAUUGCAGUCGUGCAGAUUAAAUAUAUUAUUAUUUAUUGUACUGUGUUCUCGGUUUUUCAUUGGCCAAGAGCCUACAAAUAAUUUUGGGUAUUUGUAGGUGCCAGCGCUAUUUCCAGCGGAAACAGUAAUCUGCAGAGGUUAUUGGACGGCGCCCGAGAUAUUUCAGCGGUAUUUUAUGUGAAAAUACAAAUUGGUGGGAAAUUUUUAGUUGAGCGGCUAUUUCAAUUGUUUACAAUGGCUAGUGCUCGUUUCGCAACGUUUUCAACGCAGGAAAUUGAAAAAAUCGUCGAAAACAAGGACUCAGAGAACACCAAAAAAGUACUAAACUGGCAAGAGAGGUUUUCAAUAUUUAUAUUUACGAAAAGUUAAUCAAUUCAAUGAAUAUCUAUUUGUUUUCAA